UGCUGGCUGUUCCCUCUGACAGUCUGUGGCAUGCCCAUGAUGGAUGGACCAAUUCUAACAUAUAAUAGCAAUACAUUUCAGUUUGCUAAAUACUGUCACUGAAGUGGACCUCCAGUCCCCAGGGAGCAGUGGGAUGUGUGGCCACAAAAACAGUGCAGUUGUAGGUCACGUAUUUUUUUAUACACAAAGAUCAGUCAUCUCAUGUCAUGUUUAAAUAUGGUAUGAUUGAAGUAUUUAGGUAUGGUUAGGUAAUUUUGUAUAUAUUUUAUAAUAAGAGUAGAAACAUUAAAAAUCACUUUUCUUGUUUGUGCAAAAGUAACAUUAUUUACCAUAAGAGCUUUUUACUGUCUGGCUUUAGCAACAGUGGACAUUUUCUCUGAUUAUGAGCUCCGAGAAGACUUGCUGAUUUGAGGACAUCACUAACGUUCCGUGAGAAUCAAUGAAGCUUCUCUGCGAUUCCUGCUACCGUGGAGACGUUUCAUAGCCGAGAAGGCAGAGGGACUAUCCAUGGAUACAAGACACAAUCUAACAUUAACUAUUUCUGCAGACUUUUCUCGAGACAGAUGUGUAUUAGUAAGCAUAGAGACUAAGGAGGAGUUCGGUUAUCCCUUAAUAUGUGAAUAAUGGCAACUCUUAGACCAUUUCAAGCCAUCAAUAUUCAAUUGGUCCUCAAUCAAGGAUGUCAACCUUUAGAUGCCUGCAACACUUUCCCUUUCAGAAGUGCCUUGGAUGGACACGGCCAGACACCAUUGCCUUCUCUCCUCGACAGUCUGCGAGUGAUGGACUCACUGAAUCUACCCAACUCCUCCUAACAGUUCGAAGAAGUCACAGCGUAUUGAAGCGGACACCUCUUGGAGUACGUGGCCUGUUCCAGAGAUGUGCUGUUUCUUCACGAACCUCCAAUUUGAUGCUCAUCAGCCAGGGAAGAAUUGGAUGUUUCAAAUAAGAUGAAAGGGAAGACAACAUCGACCUCGGAUGGGUUAUAGGGAUGGCCAAACAUAGGACACGGAUACUGGACAGAUGAGACCCGCAGAAGAAUCAUGAGUCACAUAUACUCACGGCCUAGAGGAAGACACUGAUGUCAUGUGGAACCACACAGGAACAGAAUGAGUAGCUAAGGGCUAUGGCAGACGGACUUUGUAGUGUUGAGAGAGUGAGGUGGCACCUGGUUCCCUCGGUGGCUUGUUUGAAUAAUUCUGCCAGUUGACAGAUGACUGAAACCCAUUCCUUCCAGAUAAGCAGGAACUGCCUCUGGUUUCCUUGAUAAGGAUGGUUAUUUGGCUAGGGACCUUAUCCAUGAGGUCCACUAGGACAGUCAAGCCCCCUCCCCCAAUUUUACCAGAUGGCAAGGUGGUCCAUAAUAUAGGGUCUUCAUUUUAGGUCUUAUACCAGACCUGUCAACAUUGUGAACCUCUCAUUCUGUUGGUGAAGAACACCAGAGCAAAUGGAUUUCCCAAUGGUGACCAUAAUUUGCUACAGGACCUUAUUUUUUUCCUACAUGUGACCCAAGACUAUGACGAGGUAAUAUUGUGAGAAAGCAGCAAUCAUUUGGUAUCUUAAGGCAAUAAGGCAUAUUAUUUCAUUUCCUUAAAUAUGUAUGUUGUUCUAUUUCUUCGAUCUAGUUCCCAGGCAUUAAGAGGGGAGGAAGAGAAGUUUAGGUUUCCCAGUUUGGAUGCCUUCUCAAAACAACAGAAAGGUAUGUCAUUUUCUUUUGUAUUGUGUAUCCUCUGCUUCACAACCUCCCCCCAACCAACCCCGUGCCGAUAAACAAUUGUCUUUUCUUACAUAUUUCAUGGCAUAUUUGUAUUUCUAUUUUUGGAAAAAUUAUAAAGCCAUGGAGGCUCAGUGCAUGCCCUAUAUUUUGCAAAGGUAAUUAUCAGAAGGAUAAGAACAAGGGGCCAUUGUCUCUCUUCUCUGUGCCUUAAGUUAUACAGCACUCUCCAUGCAAUACAGCCUCUAAAAGAAUAAGGUAGACUGUAUAUAGCAUUAUAAAAAACAUCUUUAAAAAAUCAAAAGGUUCGGGGCACCUGAGUGGCUCAGUCAGUUAAAUGUCCAACUCUUGAUUUUGGCUCAG
Long non-coding RNA from Felis catus (domestic cat), 2074 nucleotides. RefSeq lists it as uncharacterized. The transcript has 4 exons. Lineage: Eukaryota; Metazoa; Chordata; Mammalia; Carnivora; Felidae. The record is from RefSeq and is a predicted model, not a curated record.